ACUAACUUUAGUAUGCAGAUUAUCAGCGAGCAAUUCAUUCUAUAUUUAUGCCUUCUUUUACGGGCCUGAUUGAAAUAAAAUGGCAGUUGGAGUUUCGUUAGAGUUCUCUGAAUGGGGUCUCCACAGAACUGGAGAGAAUACAGGCUGAGUAAUCUGAAACGAGCCUGCAUGCCUAAUGGCUUCCUCCACUCUUCCACAGAUACAUUUUGGGGGGGCUUUUGUUUUUUGUUUUUGAUUCUCUUCCAAUUUGCAUAUUUACCAAAACCCCAAGGAAAGAAAAAUAAAACAAUUAAAAAUUUUCUAUAAUUCAUUUAAGUCAAAAAUAGAGAAGAGAGAGAAAAAUUUGUAGCUUUCAAACACCAUUAGUUUGCUAAUGAUAGCUUUCAUGCGAUGACAGCCAGCACACUGAUAAGAUGCCGCAGCCAUCCCUGGUGAAGGAAGACGACCAUUUAUAGGCCCCACUCUGUCUCUGCAGCUCGCACAUGUUUUCAAACAUAAUUUCAUGCCUGCUUUCUGACAGCUCAUUAAACAAAGGCCUCUUGGUGGCUAUAUUGCCCGUCUCCCUGCUGAGAAUGCGGCAUAUUUACGGCCUCCGCAGAUUGCUGGCUGCUGGCGCCUUCUCUUGCCCGUGGCCUGCCUGCCAACUGCUUAUCAGUCUCCCCACAAAGGUGACACCGUCUUCGUUUGUUUAGGUAGCGAUGGUCCGGGUUUGACCCUUGGAGGCCAGCAGCCGCCUGAUUAGAAGGGCGCCUGCGCCGGCUAGAUAAAGGCAAUCACACUUGGAGACAGCCAGGGAUGCUGAGCCUCUCGCCAGGCUACGGGCUCCCAUUCAGCAGCACGCAGACAGUUCGUUAGCUCGACAGCUGGCAGCGGGCAGAUCUUGUGGGAUUUCUGUCUCACAGAAAGCAAACAAGGCUUCAGAGUGCUGGGAGCUAUCAGGGGCUGUGUACAAGGGCGAUCAGAGCGGCCUGCUGCUCCUAAUCACCUGCCCCCUGACUACCAUUAAACCCGCAUUACACAUCUAAACCCAUAAAGGGCCCUCUGAAUGCAAGGCCUCAUACCGAGACUUCUUACCCCUUCCUCCUUCUCUUGCCAGAAGCAUUUUUCCGGGGUCCUGGGAGGACAGAUGAAGACAUCUUGGCUACAGCAAGAGGCUGCAGGCUGCAGCCAUCUGCCAUUGCAGGAGCUUACAAAGCUGGUAACAGAUGAUGACAAUGGCCAUGGCGUUUCCAGCUCCUUCGGUGAAGGAGGCGGCGUGUUUAUCGGCAUCUCCUUAGAAAGCAUCUCAAGUGAUGGAGCACCGCUCAGAGGCAGGCAUGGCACAGGUGAUAACAAUGAAGGCUGAGAGUCAGGGCUGGGCUCUACCAAAGUUUCACCUCAGCGUCAGCUGAGUGUGGGCGUGGUGUUUUCCAAAGACCCCGCCCAGAAACUCCAUGUUUCUGCAGAGCACACCACUACACGGUUGUCAUAGAGCUCUUGGCUGCAGCCCUUCUCCUCUGGGCACUGGCGGGCCAGUGUCGGUGACCAUCGACUGGAGGAGUGGCAAACGCUGGCGCGUUCCAGACAGUCUGUAUGACGAAGGAGCCUCGAGCAAGGGCCUGGCGGUCUUCCACGUCUUUCCUCGCUUUUCAAAAGCACCUUGGAGGAGACUGUAGGACGAUGAGAGGCCUUCAGCUCACACUUUCGGAAGGAAUUUCUUAACACCGAAGCUUCUGGAGAAAGAUUAGUCUCCUAUAUACCUUUGUACCUUUGUGCCCAGUGGAGUGAGCUAGAACACAGGUGUUCAAUCCAUGGGGAGAAUGAGAGGAAGGAAAAUUGGGUUCUAACCCUGUCUGUGUAGACGUAACACUUGCUCAGCCUUCUCUCUUACCCCACCCAGGACCACCUAACUAGGGGCCGGGUCCUCCGCGUUAAUCAUGAAUCAAGAAAAUGUCCCACAGGCUCUCUGUCAGGCCAACCUCAUGGCGGCAGUUUCUCACUAGAGGGGCCCUCGUCCCCACGACCCUCGAUUGUGUCAAGUUAACUGAAAACUAACCAGCACACCUGUUUAUAAGUAACCUGAACUCUUGUUUCUAGCUAAAGCCUGUAGUUUUGUGUGCAGUACAGUUUCUGGACACUGAUCUCUACGUUUGUGUGUGAAAUGCUGCAGACAGAACUCACUCAGGACCUUGCCACUGAGGACUUCCCCAGCCCAGCUUAUUCCUUUGUGCAUGUUGUUUUGGGUAGCUACUGACUUGGAAAGAAAGAAUCAUGGUUUCCGUUUUAUGAAUAAAGAUAGCAAAACCCAGAGAAA
Mesocricetus auratus (golden hamster) is the source of this 2293-nucleotide long non-coding RNA. RefSeq lists it as uncharacterized. The transcript is spliced from 2 exons. NCBI's taxonomy places the organism in Eukaryota, Metazoa, Chordata, Mammalia, Rodentia, Cricetidae. The record is from RefSeq and is a predicted model, not a curated record.